RNAcentral lists this small RNA (124 nucleotides) under Marmota monax (woodchuck). Lineage: Eukaryota; Metazoa; Chordata; Mammalia; Rodentia; Sciuridae. The record is from RNAcentral.
GCCAGGCAUGGUAGUGCACACCUGUAAUCCCAGCUGCUUGGGAGGCUGAGGCAGGAGGAUCUUGAGUUCAAACUAGCCUUAGAAAAAACUAGAUGCUAAGCAACUCAAUGAGACCAUGUCUCUA